Molecule: ribosomal RNA, 528 nt
Filed under: uncultured ciliate
Lineage: Eukaryota; Ciliophora
Description: mitochondrial SSU rRNA
Rfam family: Bacterial small subunit ribosomal RNA
Source: RNAcentral
UGGGUGUAAAAACAGCUAGGCUGCUAGGUAAUGCUGGCUUUAAAAAAACUUCUGGACGGUUUUUGUGCAGUUUCACCUAUGCUUUUAGAGUUUGUAAAACGUUGUGGAGAUUGGUAAUGGAGUGGUGAAAUACUUAGAUAUUACUAGAAUCGUGCGAAAUAUGGCAAAGCACACAACGGUUGUAGACUGACGCUGAACUGUGUAAAGUACAAGUAUCAAAGAGGAUUUGAGACCCUCGUAGUUUGUACCCUGAAUAAUGGAUAUAUUAUCUUUGAAGUUAGUUAACGCUUUAAUAUCCUGCCUGAAGAGUAUUGUCGCAAGGGUUAAAUUUAAAGAGAUUGGCGGGAGUUUAGAUAAACGGUGGAACAUGUGGUUUAAUUCGAUAAUCCGCGAGAAACCUUACCAGUGUACAGAUUAGCUUAAGGUAUCCCACCUAAGUGGGUUUUUCGAGUAGAACUAUCGUUAAGUUUCUAUAAGGUGCUGCAUGGCUGUCGUCAGUUUGUUAUGUAGGUUUAUAUCGGACACAAU